ACCACUAUCACCGUGAGAAUAUCUUCCAACCACCGACCCACCUCAUUGCUACUACACCAACAGAAACCUUAGCCUCUACUUUGUUACUUUCUUUCUUUCCAGAACACCGUGCUCCGUCAGCACCAUCCAACGCCAAUCUUUUCCUCAUUCACCAUCAAACUUGGUAUUGUUUGUCGUCAACUUCUAGAUCUGAGAAAAAUCGAAGGAGAUACAGAGAAACGCAUAGAUGGGAAAUAUGAAGGCUGAUGGAGGUCUGCAACCUGGAUCAAGAAGGUGGGCUUUUUUAUUAAUGAUAAAAUGUGACGUUUUUUUUUACCUUUUCUUUUUCAGGUUUCUUUUGAUAUAAUAUAAAAUCGGAAGAGUAGCAAGAAAUGAAAAUCUCGAUUUAAUUUGUUUUUAGACAAACCCCUCUUUAUCAGAUACUCCCAAAAGUAAUUUUUAUUUGUGAUCAUUUUUGCUGGAUGUUGUCUUAUGAAACAUUACAAAAACAUCAUAAACAUUUUCUAACUUGAAAUUUUGCUUGUUUGAAAGAUUUUUGCUUUUAGGGGUUUUACUGUUGAUGCAAGUUAUGGAAAGAUUGCAAUAAAAGUUAUAUUUUGUCUUAAUUAACGUGCAUAUAACAUAUAAAUUUGCUAAAGUUUAUACUCAUUAUUGUUUAACAUUUUGUUUCAGCAACCCAAAUGACUAUUAAUGACCAUUGAAAUUGGUGAAGGACUAGAGAGGUGGAAGAUCCUAUUCUUUCAACAUCAUUCUCAACAUUGUAAGGGCUAUUAAGGAUUCUCAAUUCUGCCAUGUUUAACAUUUAGUUUUAGCAAACAAAACUAUCUAUCUUGUGUUUGUCAAAGAUAUGCAUUAUUUAGCUAUUUUUUGAUUUAAAUGAUUUACAAAAAAUCAUUUAUUUCCGGAAUUUAUUUCAUUUAUGUGGUUAUAUAAAGUUUGUAGAUGUUGUAUAUAUGUAUGUAUUUGUGUAUGUAUCUAUGUGUCUAUCUAUUUGUGUUUAUAUGUGUAUCAGUUUAUGUAUAAUAAUAAAUAAAAUAAUUUUUUCUCAGAUUUGGAAGUGCUUGGAGAGGCAUAGUAGAUGUUGGCAUGCCAAAGAUCGUACUUGAGAUGCUUGAAAGAAGGGUGCUUGAGAAGAAUUACUUAUUAAGGUAUGUUAAAAUGGUUUAUGAUCCUUAUGUUUGUUUGAGUUCAUUUCAACUAUUUUUGAGUUUUUAUGAUCCUUUGUUUUUCAUUUAUAUUGCUUAGUUAUUCCAAUGGUUUUCUUGGUCUUUAAAUGAACACCAUUUUUCCAUGAAAUUGCUCAAUAUCUAACCACAUCGUGAUAUUAUAUAGUAUCUUGUAGCAAAGUGAGCACAUUCCAUCUGAAGAUACACUUUGAAAGGUUAAAAAAGAAAUCGAUACACAUGCUCAAACAUCAUGUUCUAUAAUUUAUGAAAAUAUAUAAAUCAGUAAACAACCAAAUAGAGCCACGUCAUUUGUUAUAUAGUUUCAGUUUUACAUAAUCUAAGUUAUCUUAUCUUUCACUGGUUGUUUCAUUAGAAAAUUUAUAUUAUCUUAUAUAAAUAGAUUGCCCCGGCCCUAACUAAGAGUCAGAGGGGAUGUCGGAUGGUGUAAAUUAAAUUAUGCUUCUUUUAUCUUAUUGAACAUAAACCAAACCUUAAGGUAGUCCAAGAGCAUAAUUGGAUGUAACAAGGAGCAUGCAUUCAAUUCAAUUGAGGUAGUUUCUUUUAGUUGUUUUACUAGGGACAUUUACUUUCAUUGUAUUUCUGUUAGAAAGCUAUUUGUUUCAUCUAUUAUUAUUCACACCAUCUAUUUUUGAAAAAUGCAAGUACAAGUAAUGCACUUUAAUUUUAUAUUUUUUGAAUUUACUUUUAAAAAGUUUAGUUUCUAAUUUGGAACACCAUACUUCUUGCAUUAAUUCUUUCCAUUAAAACAAAAAUAGUAAUCUACUUACAUUUUUGUUUUGUAUUUCAAAAUUAUUGUUCAUUGCUAUUACUUGCGUGAUAGCAACUUACAUAAUUUUAAUGUAUUUACCCAUAAAAAGAAAUAAGCUUUCCUUUGGAAUUUUGGAACCAUAUGCCCUUUUACAUACAUUGACUAUCCUUAUUGUGGUUCAGAUCCUUGUUAAAAGAAUAACUCAUGGAUUUUCAAAAUGUUAUGAAUUGGCUUGAUCAUGUAACUACCCUCAUAUAGACUAUCUUUUUAAAUGUAUGAUAUAAUCUUAUCUUAUAUUUCCCUAUUUCUCAUAAAUAUUGUAAUAUUUUCAAAUAUACUUCCUACAUGAUUCACAUAAUCACAUGACUAUGGGUGACAAAUUCAAUCACUAAAAAAUCAUCCCUGUUGCCUAUAAUUGGUUUUGAUUACAAUUCUUGGCCAAAUUAAGUAAUUAUAUUUUAAAUCUUUACAUAUUUAUGGUUUCUUAUUUAAAAAUUGGCAUUUACUUUUGUUUAAACUAUGAAGCUUUUAAACUAUGAAGCUUAUAAAUUAUAUAGUGUAAAUGUUUUUUAUUUGUUAAUUUAUUUAUGUUUUUGAGACGUUGAUUUUUUUGAUGAUUUUCAGGAGAAUAAGCUUCGGCUAAAAUUUGGAAUACACUUAAAAUAAAGUUGGAUAUUUUGUUCCAAACUAAUUUGUUUUUUUUCCAUGCCCACGACAUAAAUUUUCUAAAAGGAUAUUACUUCAUAGUAACAUUUAAAGAGAAACAUAUUAUAAACUAGCUGGAUGCCCAUGCUCCGCAUGGGACGGAAGGAUGUCGGAUUUUUUGACUACACGACAGACAAACUAAAUGCCGUAUGUAGAAUUUGUUCGAUGGGUAAUAGGUUGGAACUGAUUACAUUUUUAGGACAUAAUCAAUGCGAUGGUUCGAUGUGCAAAUAUAUUAUUUAGUUUUUAUUACUUUACAAAUUAUGUCAAAAUGUUUAAUUAGUGUUGCGUCAUCAUAAGAAAAGACAACUCAUUUGAAUAAUUAUACCCAAACAAGAAAAGACAACUCAUUUGAAUAAUUAUACCCAAACAAGAAAAGACAACUCAUUUGAAUAAUUAUACCCAAACGAAUUUAUUGUUCAAAACAACAAAAGAGUAAGCAACACUCAAAUAUUAUAAAAUGGCUUGAUAAACAUCUCACCCUUUCUAACUUCUAUUUAAAUCUGUCACUUAUAAAGUCUAAUAAACUUAUUUAGUUUCAAACAUAAGAUAUUGACAUGCCAUUACCACUCUCUAUGUUUAUAGGAAUCAUAUAUAUUUUUAAUGAUUGGGCUAUAAUUAAUCAGUUAUAAACACAACCCUGCCAUUUCCUCUAUUGUUGCCCUCUGUAGUUUCACAUGUUUACAUAUAAAUACCUUCAGAUAACAAACAAUCAUUCACUAAAUGGAAAAUUACAAAGAAAAAAAUAUGAGACUAUCCCAUUGGAACUUUUUGCAACCGGUUGCUCAUUAAAAAACAAUAAAGCUACCAUUAAAUUAUUAAUACAAAGCAUACAUAACAACCCAUUAGAUGUUAGUAUCUUUAAUCAAAAAUAGAAGUUACAUAUGAUCACUUGCAGAAACGUGCCAACUGAAUUUUGAUAGUUGCUACUUGAUGUUGAUGAUAUUAAAAAUACUAAUGAUGAAGCUACUAAGUUUAUAAAUAUCAGCAAAAUUAUUGUCAUUACCACAUAUGAAACUAUGGCUAAUAAACCUACACUUAGCUAUAUACUUGUUAGUAUUUACCAAUUACCAUUUGUAGUUCUAUCUUUCACCCAACACCCAACAUAUCACCUGUUUUCAAAAAAAAAAAAAAUUUAAAAAUAAAAAAAAAUCCCAACAUAUGACCUGUACAUGAAAUCGUUUCUUAGAGCCUUAAGCCAAGUUGGAGCUCCAAAUUAAUUUCAAAUGGUGUAAACAUCUUUAAGGUAAUAUUAAUCAAAAUUCAUAUAAGUAAUAUUUAUUAUGAGAAAACUGAAUUAACUAUAACCAUCCUAUAAAGAAACAAAAGUGGUCCUAAUUUCCAGUAAAAGGGUAAAUGUAUGUAAUUUAUAGCAACAUACUAUUUUAUACAUAGAAACACAUAUGGUUUCAGAUACUAUUUACUGCGGAGGUAAUGGAAGAGCUGAGUGGUUUUGGGUCUAAUCAAAGGAAGUGAUACGAUUACAUUAGAGGUUGUAUACAUUUUGUUGGCAAACUACCGGACAAUUGAUGGAGGUUCAAAUUAAACCAACCCUAAUCCAAAUUAAUAGAAUUAGCAGCAACAUACUCAAAAAUUAAAAUCAAAUAAGCAAGAAACAUCAAUAACCAAAACUGUUAUUGAACAACUUAAAACUUAAAUUACACAACUUAAAAAAGGAAAAAGAAAAAAUGGUUAGGUUUUACCUGAGAAGCUUUCGACUGGGAAAGACGGGUUGAAUCACCAUAACCUGAGUAAGUUGAACCAAGGAGCUCCCAUUGUUGGCACCUGUUAUUGCACUUAUGUAGUAGUUAUUCUCGCAUUUUUCGAUAAUAUAAUCCUUCAAUAACACACAAAAAAAAACUUGGUAAAUAAAAGAGAGAAGACCCAAAAACAAAGAAUGGAUCAUGAACCUUGUUAACAAACAUAAAGCAGAGUUCACAAACUUGAUGGGUGAAUCCAGUUCCUGCAUCCAUGAUAAGAGCACAUAAGGCAUGGCAAGAAGCCACACUGUUGAUGAAUAAUCCAUCUUCAUUUCCUUUUUGAAUAUGUCCAUGAAGUCUCACAUCUACCACAUUGUAAUGAUACCUACAACACAACAAAUUUGUCAAAAAAAAUUAUGUUCUUACCUCUGUUUCAUUGGGCGACCUGCAUUGUAAACACUUAUCCACUGAGUAGCACGCAUUCCCAUGUCUUAUAUUUUGACAGAGAAUGUUCAAGCAAAUCAGAUAAAACAUUCAAGGCCUAAUCUUUUUUUAAUCAAACAAAAAUGGUAGCUCUAAAAGUUUCAAAGUAUUGACUUUUUUUUGCUAAACGGAUGAAAGAUUAGACAAUUCCAUAGGAAAAAACAAUUUUCUAUAUUGAAAAAAACGGGAUCAACGCAUUCAACAACAUAAACUGUUGUUCACCAAACAAAUGUUAUGAAGUAAUAACAAAGAACAUUGAAAAUUUCUGGUCUAAAGAAAAGAUUUUCUCUUGAAAAUGUAAAAAAUAAUGAAAAGGACAACAACAAUAUUAGAGAUUAAAAGAUGAGCGUAACCUUGGCCGUCGAUGCACCCUUGUCCAGCACUCCCUCCGCUUCCAUAUGACCCAUCAUCGGUGGUCUGCCACACAGACUGCCAUCCUUGCUCUUCCAGAUCCUUCGAUUACUUCCUCCGGUCACUGCCUGCCACCAGCAGAUUCACCAGCUCACGAAGCCGAUCGUUUUCCGGGUACCAAUCAAUGAAAUCGGUGGAGUUUAAGCGGGGAAGGUAAGAUAAUGGCGGUGGAGAAGAAAGAUACAGAAGGAUUAACAGAUGAGGGUACCCUUGGUCGUCGAUGCCCCCUAGUCCAGCACUCCCUCCGCUUCCAUAUGACCCAUCAUCGGUGGUCCGCCACACAGACUGCCAUGCUUGCUCUUCCAGAUCCUUCGAUUGCUUCCUCCGGUCACUGCCUACCACCAACAGAUUCACCAGCUCACAAAGUCGAUCGUUUUUUGAGUACCAAUCAAUGAAGCCAGUGUUGAAGUAGGAGAGGCGGAGGUCAGCAGCUCUGCUUGAGGUGGCAGCAGGAGAGGUGUGAUGGAAGCGGCGGUUUUAGAUGACGGAGGAAAACUACGAUGCUGAUGGUGAUUCUCACAGAUAUUUUCUCCAAUGUUUUGUUCGAGUGGUUGGAGAGGAAUGGAUCGAGGUAGGAGUUUUCUGUGGAGAGAAUCACGUGGAAGGAAGAAUGUGGAAGAUCGUAGUUUCCUCUAUGAAGCGGUGGAAAAUAGAUGUCUUUGUGGGGUUUUCUGGAUGAGAAGAAAGGGGACAGAACACGUAUGACUUCCUGAAAGAAGCGGUGAUCACACCUGGAAUACACACCGACCAGGAAAUCCAAUCUCUAUUUGUUUAGAUAGGCGGUGGAAAGAACACGUAUCCACCAAAAUAAACAAAGUGGCUGUAACACCCAAAGUUUUGAAGGCCAAGAAAGGAAAGAAAACCCUAAGUUUAGGGGUCGACUCGGCGAGUCCAAAGGGGGACUCGGCGAGUCCGAGCGGGAUCCGGUUUGAGGAGUAAGUGACCGACUCGGCGAGUCUGGUCUGUGCGUGGAAAACCCUAAAUUUGGGACUUGGAGCCUAUAUAAACGUCUUAAUCUUCUUCCUAGGGUUCCCUUACUGCCUCUUCAGCCCUGGAUACCAAACCCUAGACGUCAUAACCUUUGAUUGAGCCAUUUGUUGCCUUGGAAGGUGCAUUAAAGCUUGGAGAAGGAAGAAGGAACUUGGAGGAGCAAGAAGGGACUAUAGAUCUGGAGUUUGUGGAGCCUUUUGGAAAUAUUGAAGGUAAUAAGUCGUCCCUCUCUCCUUUAGGUCUUCCAUGGUUGUGAGAUUUGGGGAUUUUAAGCCAUGGUUUGACACCCAUUUGAGUUAGAAGCCGGAUCUGGAGUUGCUACUUCAGAUCCAAGUGUGUUAUGGGCUUGAGAAGCAUAAAGUAUCAGCCCUUGAGUCAAUGUUGAAGCCCCUUGGCCUUAAACCCUAGUUUAUGGUGUGUUUUGCUUAGAUCUCCUUCUCUACACGUAAAGUUUGCAACUUUACAUGAGGAAUAGGCUUGGGAAGGGUAGAUCUACAGAUUUGAGUCCCUGCAUGACUCAAAAGUCCUCUGCAUGUAUGAAGGACCGGAUGGACUCGGCGAGUCCUUUGAGUGGACUCGGCGAGUAGCUUGAAGAUGAGGAGGAACUCGACGAGUGGGAUGAACAGCUCGUCGAGUCGGAUGAAGUUGGGCAUGAACUCGGCGAGUUGGAAGAACAACUCGGCGAGUUGGAUGAAGAUUGUCUUGGACUCGGCGAGUCUGUUCUUGGACUCGGCGAGUCAAGUCGCGAAACCCCAAACCCUUCGAGUUUAGACUCGAAUCAGUGAGUCGAUUAGAGACUCGGUGAGUUGGACAGGUCAGGACUCGGAAAUCGGUAGACUCGGCGAGUCAUGGACUGACUCGGCGAGUAGAGUCGCGAGUGGAAGGACUCUGGACUUAUGAACUCGGCGAGUCAGUAGGGUGACUCGACGAGUAGGGUUGACCUGGAAGGUUGACUUUGACCAGGACUUUGACUUCAACCUGAGUUGACUUAGAUAGACUAAGUGUUGCAUUGAUAUUGGUAGCUCGGGGAGCUAGUGGAGCGGGAGUUCAGAGAGUUGUCGGUCAGUAGCCGGAGGAUUAUCAGCAGAGCUCAGCAGCGCGAGGUGAGUCUCCUCACUGUUUGUAUGGGACUAAGGCACCAAUGCCGACCCAUUUAGAAUAUGCAUGAAAGACCAGGGAGUGGCCCCUGGCACACAAUAUGUUAUUAUGGAUGACAGGAAGACCCGGGGGUUAGCCCUAGGCAACAUGUAUGAAAGACCAGGAGGUGGCUCCUGGCGCAUUGUAUGCUAUUAUAUAUGAAAGACCAGGAGGUGGCUUCUGGCACACUGUAUGCUGUUUAGCUAAGUAGAGUAGUAUGUACGGUUUUCUUUGUGAUACUUGCAUAAAAGACCAGGGGGUGGCCCUUGGCACAUGUCUGUAAGACCAGGGGGUGGCCCUUGGCACUUGUCUGUAAGACCCAGGGAGCGGCCCAGGCUUGACCAGGAAGACCACGCGCGGCCCGUGGCAUAAUGGCAAGACUAUGUUUGGCACAUAGCACCUUAUUUGAUUAUGGAUAAGUCGGUUAUGUAUAGCUCUUGGCUAUGAAUGGUUUGUAUGGUAUGAGGUAUCUGGGGAACUCACUAAGCUUCGUGCUUACGGCUUUCAGUUUUGGUUUCAGGUACUUCCGGUAGCGGAUGAUGGAGCUCGGGAUGAUCGCAUGGCACACACCAUAGAUUAGUCAGCCUGGGAAUGUUUUACUCUGAUAAUGAACAUGUGUUUUGAAAACUAAUACUCUGUUUAUGUUUUGAAAUGAUGAUUUUACUUUAAGU
RNAcentral lists this long non-coding RNA (8032 nucleotides) under Lactuca sativa (garden lettuce). RNAcentral's name for it is "long non-coding RNA (LSAT_LNC007194)". Lineage: Eukaryota; Viridiplantae; Streptophyta; Magnoliopsida; Asterales; Asteraceae. The record is from RNAcentral.